AAGCUCGUAGUUGAAUUUCGGGGUUAGUAAGUUGGUCAUGCCUCUGGUAUGCACUGGCUUUACUGAUUCCUCCUUCUUGAUGAACUGUAAUGUCAUUAAUUUGGUGUUGCAGGGAAUCAGGACUGUUACUUUGAAAAAAUUAGAGUGUUUAAAGCAGGCAUACGCUUGAAUACAUUAGCAUGGAAUAAUGAAAUAGGACGUUUGAUCCUAUUUUGUUGGUUUCUAGGUUUGACGUAAUGAUUAAUAGGGAUAGUUGGGGCAUUAGUAUUCAAUUGUCAGAGGUGAAAUUCUUGGAUUUAUUGAAGACUAACUACUGCGAAAGCAUUUGCCAAGGAUGUUUUCAUUAAUCAAGAACGAAAGUUAGGGGAUCGAAGACGAUCAGAUACCGUCGUAGUCUUAACCAUAAACUAUGCCGACUAGGGAUCGGAUGAUGUUAUUUUUAAUGACUCAUUCGGCGCCUUACGGGAAACCAAAGUGUUUGGGUUCCGGGGGGAGUAUGGUCGCAAGGCUGAAACUUAAAGGAAUUGACGGAAGGGCACCACCAGGGGUGGAGCCUGCGGCUUAAUUUGACUCAACACGGGGAAA
RNAcentral lists this ribosomal RNA (585 nucleotides) under uncultured Glomus. RNAcentral's name for it is "SSU rRNA". It matches the Rfam family "Eukaryotic small subunit ribosomal RNA", at positions 624 to 1213 of the family's 1831-position model. Lineage: Eukaryota; Fungi; Glomeromycota; Glomeromycetes; Glomerales; Glomeraceae. The record is from RNAcentral.